AGGAGAAGAGGCAGGCAGAACAGAUGUGGACACUAUCCGUGAAGAAAGAAGCUACGUUCCCUGAGGCGGAAGGAGCUUCCUUGGAGCAAGGGCAGAGUGCGCAGGCCGUGGAGCGUGCCCAGGAUGCCCUCUCCGGUGGAGCAGGCAGGGAAGAGAUGCCGUUGAGCCAUCGUCUUCUCAGAGGUGUGGAAACGGCUGCC
This is a long non-coding RNA of Gekko japonicus, 200 nucleotides long. RefSeq lists it as uncharacterized. The record is from RefSeq and is a predicted model, not a curated record. The transcript has 3 exons. Lineage: Eukaryota; Metazoa; Chordata; Lepidosauria; Squamata; Gekkonidae.